This 503-nucleotide ribosomal RNA is filed under the name uncultured bacterium. RNAcentral describes it as "partial 16S ribosomal RNA". It matches the Rfam family "Bacterial small subunit ribosomal RNA", at positions 29 to 523 of the family's 1533-position model. The record is from RNAcentral.
AACGAACGCUGGCGGCGUGUUUAAGACAUGCAAGUCGCACGGGAUAAGACAUGUAGUAAUACUUGUUUUAUUUAGUGGCGCACGGGUGAGUAACACGUGAAUUACAUGCCCUAUAGUGGGGAAUAGCCCAGGGAAACUUGGAUUAAUACCCCAUGGUAUCGAAAGAUUAAAGGUGGCCGCAAGGCUGUCGCUAUAGGAUUGGUUCGCGCCCUAUCAGCUUGUUGGUGAGGUAACGGCUCACCAAGGCAAUGACGGGUACCUGGUCUGAGAGGACGAUCAGGCACACUGGAACUGAGACACGGUACGGACACCUACGGGUGGCAGCAGUCGAGAAUAAUUCACAAUGGGGGCAACCCUGAUGGUGCAACGCCGCGUGGAGGAUGACGGUCUUCGGAUUGUAAACUCCUGUCAUCUGGGAGAAAGACCUGACGGUAAAUAGCCGGCAGGGUUGAUAGUACCAGAAGAGGAAGGGACGGCUAACUUCGUGCCAGCCGCCGCAGUAA